Molecule: ribosomal RNA, 642 nt
Filed under: uncultured Lachnospiraceae bacterium
Lineage: Bacteria; Bacillati; Bacillota; Clostridia; Lachnospirales; Lachnospiraceae
Description: bacterial SSU rRNA
Rfam family: Bacterial small subunit ribosomal RNA
Source: RNAcentral
UCGAACGAGCGAGAGAGAGCUUGCUUUCUUGAGCGAGUGGCGAACGGGUGAGUAACGCGUGAGGAACCUGCCUCAAAGAGGGGGACAACAGUUGGAAACGACUGCUAAUACCGCAUAAGCCCACGGCUCGGCAUCGAGCAGAGGGAAAAGGAGCAAUCCGCUUUGAGAUGGCCUCGCGUCCGAUUAGCUAGUUGGUGAGGUAACGGCCCACCAAGGCGACGAUCGGUAGCCGGACUGAGAGGUUGAACGGCCACAUUGGGACUGAGACACGGCCCAGACUCCUACGGGAGGCAGCAGUGGGGAAUAUUGCACAAUGGGGGAAACCCUGAUGCAGCGACGCCGCGUGGAGGAAGAAGGUCUUCGGAUUGUAAACUCCUGUUGUUGAGGAAGAUAAUGACGGUACUCAACAAGGAAGUGACGGCUAACUACGUGCCAGCAGCCGCGGUAAAACGUAGGUCACAAGCGUUGUCCGGAAUUACUGGGUGUAAAGGGAGCGCAGGCGGGAAGACAAGUUGGAAGUGAAAUCCAUGGGCUCAACCCAUGAACUGCUUUCAAAACUGUUUUUCUUGAGUAGUGCAGAGGUAGGCGGAAUUCCCGGUGUAGCGGUGGAAUGCGUAGAUAUCGGGAGGAACACCAGUGGCG